UACGAAGGGGGCUAGCGUUGUUCGGAAUUACUGGGCGUAAAGCGCACGUAGGCGGAUAUUUAAGUCAGGGGUGAAAUCCCGGGGCUCAACCCCGGAACUGCCUCUGAUACUGGGUAUCUUGAGUUCGGAAGAGGUGAGUGGAAUUGCGAGUGUAGAGGUGAAAUUCGUAGAUAUUCGCAGGAACACCAGUGGCGAAGGCGGCUCACUGGUCCGAUACUGACGCUGAGGUGCGAAAGCGUGGGGAGCAAACAGG
Molecule: ribosomal RNA, 253 nt
Filed under: uncultured Aureimonas sp.
Lineage: Bacteria; Pseudomonadati; Pseudomonadota; Alphaproteobacteria; Hyphomicrobiales; Aurantimonadaceae
Description: partial 16S ribosomal RNA
Rfam family: Bacterial small subunit ribosomal RNA
Source: RNAcentral